GUUAAAUCUUAUAUUUAAGAAUAAUUUUGUUAAUUCAAUCUACAAAAUAACAAAUAUAGAGUGGAAAAAUAAGUAGGUGGAGUGUGGCCCCCUUUUCUUUAUGGAACGAGCGUGAAGAUGGAAACCAUAAAGAUAACAAGCUGAGAAGUUACACUUUUGAAGAUGACUUGAUAGAAGUUGGGGAAAAAUACAAACAUCAAUGGCUCCACAGAAUACAUCUACUUCACUGAAAUUACAGGCAACAUAAAUGAACUAUGGCCUCCCCCGAGUGGUACUCUUGGUUUGAAUACACAUGAGACCGUCAAACAAGGACAAUUCUUGAAGCCAAUGCUUGGGAUGCUUAGUAACAAUCCUUGAUUAUUGACUAGGACAGGUAGACUUCUUCUGGCAGCAACUGGAGUAGAUUUCAACAUCUUGAGAGCUCUUUCUGCUGAGAACCUUAAAUAAUCUAAAUAGAGAUUUCUCUUCUCUGUUGAUUGUUCCCUUUCACACGCUGUACAAAUUCUUUGCUGGUGUAAAUUAUCCAAACUUGCACACUUCAACAACUUAGCAAGAUAAAGCCAGUCGGAUUCAAUCAUGUGUCUCACCUCAACAACCAUAUCGUGACUGAGUGUACAGGACCAAGGAUGAUGAUGCCAACUUUCCCCUCCCAAAUCCCAUUCACAGUAACUUCUCCCAGGAACAGCACUAACAGGAAUAUUCUUGCUCAGUUUCCAAGUGACUAAGAAUCUGUUCAUGAAAUAGCAUAUUUGCCCAGGUCCGAGUGGUUCACUUAAAGAUGUAGUUGCAUGUUCAACCUCAUCCUUUGACUCAGUCUCAGAUUCAACAUUAUCUUCUAUUCUGGCCUUGAAAUAUUUGAUUUCAUCCCUCUGCAACAGAAGAAUAUUCUUAUAGGUUGACUCACUGAUAAUAUUAAGCCUUUUGGCUUCAGUUAGGACUGAAUCAGAUGAAGAGUCCAAAAAAUACACAUCUGAUGCAUCAGGAACAAAGUGGUCUGAAUUCGAUUUUCCAUCAGAUAUAAUUUGCUCUAACUCACAUGGGACAUACCACUUCCUUUCCCCAACAGAAUGAAUGCAAGUCGGUACCAUUUUCGAAGGCAGGGGACAAUCAACAGAGCAGCAAACUAAGAUUUUGGUUCCCCUUGACCCAGUAGCUGGACAAAGGUAACACCCAGCUGCUGUAAGAGAGGUCUGCAGAAUGUCAAAUGGAGGAGAAGUAGUUAUCAAAAUAAAUUAACAAAACAAUAAAUUUGGAAGUAGAUUCUUUGAAGAUAAUUUUUUUUUUUAAAGAAACAUUUACAAAUGUGGCUUCAGUCUAAACCAUUGAAGCAUAAUGAUAAAAUAUAUAGAUUAAGAAAUUCCAUUAAUUUUUUUUGUAUUCUCUUUACUAGGAAAAUUUUCCACCAAAAGGAAUUUUUGUUUGUUGAACAGUUAUUUCCCAGUGUGUUCAGUCAAUCAGGGUUGUAGCUUGUAGGAUUGGAGAACAAGACACAAUCCUCUACAUUUUUGUGAAGUUGUCAUAUGAGUCCUAGUUCAAAUUAAAAUUGACAGAAUAGAGAAAAAGGAACCAAGGAGACACUGCUGCAAGGUCCCUUCCAUGACUUCAUGAUUGAGAUUGAGAUCUUAAACAAUUAUAUUUAUAACAAAUUAGCUAGUAUAAGUUGUAAGAGCAAGGCAUGACUGUGUCUGAACUGUUUACAAACUUCAGCAAAUUGCAACAAAGAAGAAGCCAACAUAUAAUUGCAUAGAAUUGUAAGCAAAAUACAGGUAAAAAUAGAUGUACCUUGCAUGGGAAAGUACGAAUGUAGUCCAACAACAAUUUUGAAGUACGACCUCUAACUGGCCUCUGCCUUUGAGAGACAAACUGCAAGACCAGGGCUAUGAACUUUGCCAGGCAUAAAUCCACAAUUUUUGAUGGAUUAAGAAUCUCUAAAUCAAUAAUGGCAUAUCCCUGCUGCUGUAGCAAUUGCAGGCCCCAACCACAUCAAAAGAAAAGGAAGAAGAACAGAAAUUGUUAAUCAUAUGAUAACCACUGGGAAUUGGGAAAGACAGAAAGUUAAAUCUAAAAGUAGGCAUUAAAGAUAUUGGUGUCCAAUGGUCAAGUAUUCUUACAUGCACAAUGGUCAGAGCCUGAUUUAUCAAAUUAAAACAAAAUUGGUCAACAAAGGCACGUGUUUUUCGACAGGCAGAAAUUACUGCUUGCAGUUCAGACUUGAAGGUAUCUGGAAAUAAGAGCUAGUUAUUUGAGAAUGUUAAGUUUGCGUUUGCAUUAAGGAAAGUCGAGAUGGUAAUCCCCAUAUCAGGAAAGAAUGCACACAACACCACAAUGACAUCAGCUAAGCAAAUAAAUUCAAUCUACUGUCAUUCUUUGAAAGAAAACAUCAAGAUAUUCAAAAAAUCUGAUACCUUAAAGACACAUGAUUAUACAAUAAAAUUAAAUCCUAACUAUUGUAAGUGUCACUUGUACCAACAUGAUGACAAACUUCUUAGUGACAUCCGAAUCCUAUUGCGAGCAUAUAAUAGGCUUUGAUUUGUUGGAUCAUCAACCCAGUCUUGGCCGCCCACUUGACAUACCUGGAAAAGAUUACCAACGGAUGCUAAUAUCAUUUCAAUUGUAAAACAAUAAAAUUAUAGCGGCAACAGUAUCAGUAAGAAAAAAAAAAUUUCCACAUCUUUUUCACCUACAACCUUGUACAUAUCUUCCUUAGAAAAAUGCAGGAGUGGCCGCACUAUAAGUAUGCCUUCAUUAUUUGAACCUUCAUCAUACAAAUGCUUGCUUGAGGAGAAAGUUUGGGAAGUAAAUGCCAUGCCAGCAAGUCCAAGCACACCACUAUUGCGAGAUAGUCUGAGAAUGAACAACUCGGCCUGUAUUUGCUCAGAAACCACCAUAUUUGUAGCAUCCUUAGAAAGCUUUCUAAACCAACAGGUAACACAUAAAUGCUAUGCUAUUGGGUUAGACUUCACUAUGGACUGCUAUUCAAAUGGUGAGGCAGUUGAAGCCAGGCAGAAAAAAAGUUAACACUAAUGGUGGUCCUAACCUGGUCAUCUGCGUGAUGUGCAAUUAGUAACACACCAAUUCGGUGCUGCAUGCAAAUAUUCUGUAAUUUUUGGUACCUCAUGUCUCUUGCCUCUUCUUGCAAAUGACCCUGUUUAGGCCUGCCAUCUGACCAACUACAAUAUGCAAUCUCGCAUCUGAUUCCCAUUUCAGAAACUCGGCGGGAAACAAUGCGUGCCUCCUCUUUGCUCUCUGCACGUAGUCCAUGAUCAACAACUAUUGCUAAAAGCCCAUCAAUAAAACCUCCACUUUGGCUAACAACAUGAGGACACUCAGUUUUCCAGGCAGCAGUUAGGAAACAAAGCGCCAUGCUGUCAGGGCCGCCAGAUACUCCUAUAGCAAUACGGUGAUGGCGUUUGAGACCAGCCACAGCCAUCUGCCUCGAGAAAGCCUCCUUGUACUUGGCCACGUCAAUUUGGUCUUGGGCAAGAGAAGAUUUGCAGCAAAAUGAGCGAGUUGGGGUUACAUUAGGAGGCAAGCGGAGAAGAUAACAAAGGGGAGGAGGAGACAUGAAUAUCAGCUUUUGGCAUAUUGGCGGCGAAAGUCGAACCCUUGUUAUGAAGGAGGUGGUGGUGGCUUUGCUUUGCGAUGAGAGAAUGAACCCUCGCGCCAUGUCCUACUGGAUUGGAAUGGCACAUUUGCAGAAGAAGAGUAAGCUGGUUCAAAACUCUGAACUAGUUUUAAAACCGAACCCAUAACUGAACCUGAUCGUGGCUGAUUCGUGGUUCAACCGGUCCGCCGAUUUAUUUCAACUUCAUGUUGGAUUGCAGUUCCAACUCAGCAUUUGACUUGGUAUCCUGGUUUCACUGUAUGAUUACUCUGGGGGGUCCUCCAGGCACUUAACCCAGAAACCAUGGAGAAAACGAGGACGCGAAACUCAACUUCACAGAAAAGAUAGAAUUCAGAUUCAACCUCCUCCUUUCUUCUCUCAGAUGCGGGAACUUUCCCUCCAAAUCAAACAACCAUUAACGAACUCGCUAACCCAACAGCCAUGGCCACGCUUCACCAAACCUCAACAACAUUUCCAUUCAAAUCCGCUCUUUUCAUAUCUUUCAUCUCCAUCUCUCUCUUCCAUUUUCUCACUCCCUCCCAGAAAACCCUAACCCUGUCCCACCACAACGCCACCCCAAAUAAUACCAAGAGCACCACCAAAUACAUAGUCCGUUUCACGGAGUACAGAAAGGCGGAACAUCUCCGCCAGUAUUUGGAGUCAAGAGUUAAAUGCGGCGGAUGGGAAUGGAUCGAGAGGCGAAACCCGGCCAUGAAAUAUGCCACGGAUUUUGGGGUGGUGGCGAUGGAGGAAUCCCAGAGGGAGAGAUUGAUUGGGGAGAUUGGGAGAUUGGCGAUGGUUAAGGAUGUGAACGUGGAUUUGAGCUAUGAAAGGGAUUUACUUGGCAUUAAUGGUGGUGGUGCUUUUGUUGAUGGGAAGAAACGACCUGGGAAGAUAUUCACUUCGAUGUCGUUUAACGAAGGAGAGCAUUAUGCGAUGGCGGCGACCAGUAAUUCUUCGAUUCAUUGGGGACGCCGUCUUCUGAUGCAGAAGUCACAGGUCACUUCUUUGUUUGGGGCAGAUGUCCUUUGGGCAAAAGGACACACUGGUGCUAAAGUUAGGAUGGCUAUUUUUGACACUGGAAUUCGAUCUGAUCACCCACAUUUCCGUAAUAUUAAGGAGCGCACAAACUGGACCAAUGAGGAUACUUUGAAUGACAAUCUUGGACAUGGAACUUUUGUUGCUGGUGUUAUUGCUGGUCAAGAUCUAGAGUGUCCUGGCUUUGCACCAGAUACAGAGAUUUAUGCAUUUCGUGUGUUUACAGAUGCACAGGUAUCCUACACAUCAUGGUUCCUUGAUGCAUUUAACUAUGCCAUUGCCACCAAUAUGGAUGUGCUAAAUUUGAGUAUAGGUGGACCUGAUUACUUGGAUCUCCCAUUCGUUGAGAAAGUCUGGGAACUAACAGCCAAUAAUAUCAUUAUGGUUUCGGCUAUUGGAAAUGAUGGACCACUUUACGGAACUUUAAACAAUCCAGCAGACCAAAGUGAUGUCAUUGGUGUUGGUGGCAUAGACUACAGUGAUCACAUGGCCCCAUUCUCAUCCCGUGGCAUGAGCACCUGGGAGAUUCCACAUGGCUAUGGCCGUGUGAAACCAGAUGUUGUUGCAUAUGGGCGGGAAAUCAUGGGAUCAAAGAUCAGCACUGGUUGUAAAAGCUUAUCUGGGACUAGUGUAGCAAGUCCUGUGGUUGCUGGUGUGGUAUGCCUUCUCGUCAGUGUUAUACCUGAAAGCAGUCGUAAGGAUAUUCUAAAUCCUGCAAGUAUGAAACAAGCACUCGUUGAAGGGGCUGCUAAGCUUGCUGGUCCAAACAUGUAUGAGCAAGGUGCAGGAAGAGUUGAUCUGUUAGAGUCAUAUGAGAUCCUGAAGAGCUAUCAACCUCGGGCAAGCAUCUUCCCUAGUGUUCUUGAUUUUACAGAUUGCCCUUAUUCCUGGCCCUUUUGUCGUCAACCACUCUAUGCAGGUGCCAUGCCAGUUAUGUUCAAUGCUACCAUAUUGAAUGGAAUGGGUGUCAUUGGCUAUGUUAAAAGUCCACCAACAUGGCAUCCCUUGAGUGAAGAAGGAAAUCUUCUAAGCAUUCACUUUACUUAUUCAGAAGUCAUUUGGCCUUGGACUGGUUAUUUAGCACUACACAUGCAAAUUAAGGAAGAAGGCGCACAGUUUUCUGGGGAGAUCGAGGGCAAUGUAACUGCUACGAUAUACAGUCCUCCUGCGCCAGGCGAAAAGGGUCCUCGAAGUAGCACUUGUGUGCUGCAACUGAAAUUGAAGGUAGUUCCUACUCCGGCACGGUCAAAGCGGGUUUUGUGGGACCAAUUUCACAGCAUCAAAUAUCCUCCCGGAUAUAUUCCUAGAGACUCUUUGGAUGUUCGUAAUGAUAUUCUUGAUUGGCAUGGGGAUCACCUACAUACAAAUUUUCAUAUCAUGUUCAACAUGUUACGAGAUGCUGGCUACUAUGUUGAAACACUAGGUUCUCCUUUCACGUGUUUUGAUGCUCGUCAAUAUGGGACACUUCUGCUAGUGGAUCUUGAAGAUGAGUACUUUCAAGAAGAGAUUGAAAAACUGAGAGAUGACGUUAUUAGUACUGGAUUGGGGUUGGCUGUGUUUGCUGAAUGGUAUAAUGUGGAUACAAUGGUGAAAAUGAGAUUCUUUGAUGAUAAUACUCGGAGCUGGUGGACUCCUGUUACUGGAGGUGCAAAUAUUCCAGCACUAAAUGAACUUUUGGCCCCUUUUGGGAUUGCUUUUGGAGAUAAGAUCCUGAAUGGUGACUUUUCCAUUGAUGGAGAGCAAAGUCGAUAUGCAUCUGGAACUGACAUUGUGAGGUUUCCAAGAGGUGGGUAUGUGCACAGUUUCCCUUUCCUGGAUAGCUCAGAGAGUGGAGCAACGCAGAGUGUACUGCUGACUUCUGGCAUGACCAAGGCAGACACUCCAAUUCUUGGCCUUGUAGAGAUGGGUGAAGGUCGUAUUGCAGUUUAUGGAGACUCCAAUUGUUUGGAUAGCAGCCAUAUGGUUACUAAUUGUUACUGGCUUUUGAAGAAAAUAUUGGACUUCAGCAGUGCGAACACUAGAGAUCCAUUGCUCUUUUCUGAUUCUGCUAAACAAGAUGCUGCGCUUUACAUAGAUGACAACCAAUUACCUUCUCGAAGAACUGAUGUGAAUUUCUCUUUGUAUUCUGCUGUUGUGAGAAAGGAUUUGAUAUGCAGGAGUGACUCCAGAUUUGAAGUAUGGGGAACUAAAGGAUACAAUCUACACGUCAGGGGAAGGAACAGAAGACUUCCUGGCUAUUCUGUUAUAGAUUUGGGAAGAGGUUUGAAUUCUACUGUUGACACUUCCAGUUUGAGGCGCCCAAAGUUUACUGAGAAAAGUAAGGGUGACUCAUCGGGAAAUAGUUACUGGGGUAUGCUUUAUGGAGAUGAGCAUGAUAUUCCUGUGCUAGUUGCCAGUCAUUGGCUUGUACCUGUAGCAGUGUCAAUUACCGGCCUUUUAUUAUUUUUGAGCAUUUGGCGAAUCCGACAGAGGCGACGUCCAAGGAGGAGAGGAUCUGGCUCAGUUCGUUUAAGCAAUCUAUAGUUUAUGACUGAUCCUGUCAUCUGUUCCUCGCCUUCAAUAUUGUCAGAGAAGAUGAAAGCAAUUUUCCUUGAAUAUUGUUGUACGAAUUUGCCAAGUGUUGUUGCGGGCAUCAUGAUAAGAUUUAGCUUUGUAUCCAGUAGAGAUGUACAUUGCUUUUGUUUCAGAUGCUUGUAACGGCGCAAAUUUUUGAUGUUAACACUCUCUUGUAACGCUACAUUGUUUUCUCUAUCUUUUCGAGAGUAACAGAAUCAUAGAUCACUUAGAGAUACAUGAAUCUAUCCUCACAGAGCCUGCUUAUAUCAUUUGUUCCCCUUUAUACAUAGAUUUCGAGUGUUAUUACAGAUGGCUUGAGAUAAAAUUCUAUAUUUCCAAAUAAAGGUGAAAACAUGUUAAGAGGAAGAAAUUCAUCUUACCUCGAGACUAUUGCCCCAUUAUUCCCCAGUGCAACAAAUGGGAAGCUUUCAGAUUCAAAAGGGCUGGCCUGAAUGAACAAGGGACUUAGCAGUAAGAUGAAAUUAAGAGAUCGUCACAUGAUAAUGGCU
Molecule: unclassified non-coding RNA, 7707 nt
Filed under: Hevea brasiliensis (rubber tree)
Lineage: Eukaryota; Viridiplantae; Streptophyta; Magnoliopsida; Malpighiales; Euphorbiaceae
Source: RNAcentral